UGGAAAUGCUCUGCUCUGGGAACGCUGACUGCACUACGGUUAAGUCGUUGGUGACUGCUAAAUGGCUUGCAUCCUAGCAGGACCAAGAGGUACCAGAAUUGCGUGCGCCGACGCAUUUGCUCUGCAGAGAGGCUGCUCAAGGGGCUCGUACGUGUUUGUCAUUACAGUUUUCACCUCUGAUGAAGUAGUGAGCCAGGGUUUGCCUUCAAAUUCCGACUGGUAUGAGUUUAUAGAAACACAACAAGCAGGGCACAUACACUGAGGCGGCAGACCUUGGGAAGGUUAACAGGAAAAUUCACAGCUUCUCGCCUGACACCUAGUCUAAUAGCUCUGGAAAGUGUCAAGAGCAUGCAUAUACCUACAGGCUGCUGCACAAGCAUCUGGUCGACCUCUGGAAUGGCUGAACACUAGCCAAAAAGUGGUAGCUGCUGCCCAAAACUGAUACUUGGCUAAUUUUAGACACUGGACGUGAGAUGUGCUGUCAGUUAGUUUCACCAGUAAAUAUCAUGUGAGCUCUUUUUUAAAAUUUUAUUAAGAAAAACAUUUCCAAAAGUUGGUUACCAUCCAACACCAUACACUUGACCCCCUUCACUCAUUUCGCCACCCUCCUGACCCCCCUCCUCUCUGGUGAUCUCUUUGUAAUGAACACAGAUGUCAAAUCAUAAUGUUGCACACCUGAAAUUUACACAACGUUAUUUACCAAAUUUUACCUCAUUUUUUUAAAAAGGCAGUUAUUCCCCAACUUCUGCAUUUAAGGAUUAUUUAAUAAAAUUUAGCAAUAAGUGCAAAAAAAAAGGGGGGGCCUUACGUUUUGUAAGAUUAGCAGUCCCAGUAAGGGUCUCCCUUGCUAGAAAACUGGGGAAAUUAUAACUGAGAAUAGGAGAAUGUUAGCCUUAUUCAAUUAACAGCUGUUACCAAGUGGUCAUAUGUACUUGACACUGUAACAUCGCCAGACAGUCAAAAGCGGCUUAAGACGUGGGUACAGCCCUUGAAGGGCUUCCUGUUUCAAAAGAGGCUGAUAAAUCACAACCUCACUCACAAGGAGGGCUAUACCGACAGUAAGAAUGUUCUCUAGCUUUGAGGAUGGUAACCACCCACCGAGGGAGUUAGAGAAGCUUCACAAAAGGACUGACAUUUGAGAGGGCUUAAAAGGUUGAGCAUUCACUAUCAAAAAGUAGGGGAGGAACAGGAUUGCUUUAUUGUGAACCCAUCACUAAUCUCAGCAAGUGGACUGAGUUAAAAUUCAGGAUUAAUACUAAUGGUAUCUCCACUGGGGAGAAGAGACCGAUACAAUUACGUUCUGGUGUAUUGGGCCAAGUUGUUUGAUUCUUCCAAGCUAAAGUGACUGACAAAAAACUGACUAGAAACAAUCAUGACCAUGUAUCUAAGUAAGUAAGGACUUGUGUGUGUGUGUGCUUGUGUGGUUCAACAUUAUCAGGUCAAGUUCAUUGACCAUUCAGAUACAAGCCACUUGACAAACCUGUUUCAGGAGACUGGCCCGGGGAGGCUAAGAUUCAAAUUCACACUAACAGAUUACAAUGGGUUUGUGUGUGUGUCAAUAUUUUAUCUCUAAACUCCCCACAAUUUAAAAGUAACUGAGCUUUUAAUUGGAGAGAAGGUUUGGUGUGAAGGGUGGGAGCAAUGUUAUAUAAUAUUUUACUUCCAUACUAUAACCCUGAUUGCCCCAUAAAUAUCGGAGGAGUAUCUGGUGGGGUAAAAAUCCCCUCAUUUCUUUAAAAUGGAGGUCUUCUAUAUCUUACAGUUCUGGAAGAGGGAGAAAAGCUACUGUUUCUUUUAUUGAAGACCUGGCCUAAGACCGUAUGCUGAAGCCAGGAUUGGAGUUAAAUUUAAGCCAGACUGACAGGAAGCCUUUUAUCUGUCCAUGACAUCACACUGUCUUCCAACUACAUCUUAAUAAUGUGAAGAUAUGAACAAACAGAAGGAGAAUUAGUGUUUUUAGUAUUUGUUGAGUACCUACUAGGUACUCCACAUUUUUCAUGGAUUAUUCCAUUUAAUUAUCUUUUGUUACCUCUAUUUUAUAAGGUAGGAAAUUGAAAUGCAAAGAAGUCCAUGUUCUAAGCUGACUCAUCUAAUAUAUGGUAGGACCAGGACUACAAUCCAAGUUUUCUAACUCCAAGUUCCCUGUUCUUUCCAGAAGGAGACUGCCUCCUGUCCCCUCAAAGAUAUCCGAGUUUAGUUUUCUCUCUGCUGACACAAUCUUGUAGGUAGUCCAUGACAAUCUUAAGUUGGGACCUCCCAGAUGCAGACCUUGAAUGAAGGAUUUAAGUGCAUGUUGUUUCUUUGAGAGGAAAUUCUAGGCAGGAUCCUUAGGGAAGUUGGGGAGUGAAACCAAGAAAGCAAGGAAGCCAAUAAAGGGCACGUUGAUGAGAGGAUUGGCCCUGGGAGUCACGGUGGCUCCAUCUGGGGGGCUUCUGGGAUUCUGCACAGAGCACAGCUCAGAGCUUGGGCGAGCCAGCUGGGGUAUCUGCCCACUGACUCCCAUUCGUUAUUUGUUGAAGGCUGUUCCUGGGAGCCUUAACCCUCUGUCUUGAAUGAAUGGCCACAGAAGGUCCUCAAGGCAGAGUUGAAAGUGCUUGCCUUCUGAAGUCCUGGGAAUGACAAGAUUCUGGAUUGUGCCACCCUUGGAGCUGCUGCCACAGAAAGAGGCCUCUGCACUGUGGAGAUAGCAUCUGGCCACAGUGGCAUUUCUUAGACUUCGUGUGUCACAAAGACAGAACCUCCACAUUCCCUAGGUCUUCACGGACUGUCGUCUCUCAGUCCAUAACUGGAGAUGGGUAACACCACGAUGAGUGUGAAAAAAGAUGAAAACAGUCGUCAAAGCCUCCACACGCCACGACCAACAUUCAUUCUCACGUACUCCUUAAGCCCACGUUACUGAGAGGACCCAGCCAUUUCUUCCUUUCUUGAGCCUCAGAGAAACCCACGUGCCCUUCAUUCAGAUGGGAGAUGUGCAGGUCUCCGUUUCUGGGUGGUUGUGCGCUAAUCCUCCUCCCACUGUCUCGUGACUAAGAGACCACCCCUCCCCCCAGCUUCUUGGUGAAACAUCAGUGGGCAGAAGGAGAAAAACAAUGCGGAUCUUUUUCAGCCAGUGCUGUGAGAUUUGCAGUCCCAUUGCUUUUUCUCCCCUAAAACUAACACAAACCAGAAAAAGAAAACCAGAUAAAUGAAGUAAAACAAGGAUGAUGUCUGUCCUCUUGGCAGACUGUCAUCAGGGAACGAUGACAUUCACACUGGAGAAUUGUAUGAUGCACGGUUUCCAUUUGGGGAAACCUUCAUGCUCCUUGGAGCCACUAGUUUGGGUUUGGAGUUUGUUUUUCCCCCUUUUUGGAGGGGGUGCAGUGCCGGUCUAACGGCAACAUUAUAAGACUCUGGAAAAUACAUAAAGUCUAAGCGUCUCAGUAAUUAGAGCUGGAGGAGAGCCAUUAUAUCAUCCCUCAGACUCAGGGGAACCAGUGGAGGGGUCUUUCCUAGAACAGAUUUUCUAGUUCUUUAUCCUGUUGACUUUCAAGCAGCUCCAGGGAUGGCGUUUCCACCACUUCCUUUAUUCUGUAUUUCCCAGAAUAAUUCAUAAUUCUUGCUGUCAUAAUUUUUCAGGGUGUUUAGUCCAAAUGCUCCUUUUCUGAAAAUGACAACUGCUCUCUUCACUCGAAGUUGUGUCCACCAGUUGCAAUAAACUCUUCACUCUCUUGAAGCUGUAACCAUUUUCCAUUAUUUUCCCCCCAGAAUUCUCUGAUUCUCUCUCUCUUUAGAAGCCAUCGUUCAUUUACAAGGAAACUUGGUGAUUUGGCCAGUGGAGUUUUAGCCCGUUGGAAGCUGUGGUGUCUCGGAAUUCCCAUACCAGGGCUCCUCGGAUGUUUCUGGGCAUGCAGUGCCAGGCUGGUGGCAGAGAAGUGAAACCAUCAGUAAGACCCAUUGCCUUAGUGCUCAGAAAAUACCAAAAUGCACCACCACUGAAAGACGAGCUUUCAGAUUCACAGUGACUUAUAACCCACCGGUCUACGGAAGGGGUCAGUUUUUCUAUGUCUUGUAGCAGAGCAAAAGGGAAAAUGAGCAACCACCUGAUAAGUGCUCUUGAAAACGCUUAAAUAAAAGCUCAACGGUGUGAAGACCGUAGCUACGCGCCCCAUCAAUCCUGUGGUCCAAAGUUACAAAGGUUCUAGAGAAAUCAGCUCCAAAAAAAGCCAUCUUCUCCAGGUGAAGGGAAGCAGAGAAAGAGUGUCUCCAGGCUGGCUUAGCCAUCUAAAUGGUCUAAUUAAAUAAAACAAUCAGGGGUUGGCUUCUGUCCUGCAAGCAAUUCCCCCAACUGAUGGACUCCCAAGAAAUGGCAGGGAGCCAGCAUUGCUCACGUGGCUUCUUUAACGCAGCCAUUUAAGUGCUCAGCAAGUGUUACAUUUAAAUGUGUGUAAAAAUUAUUACAAAAAAAAAAGAAGAAAAGAAAAGAAAAAGAAAGAAAGAAAACCCUACACAUCAGGGGAAAUGUGUGAAUAUGUGUACACAGAGCCACACAUACAGGUCAAGUGGGAAAUAGCUUUGGGGAUAUUUAGAGAUUUAGCUUUUAGCAAAAGUCAUUUUUCUCCCUCCAGUAAGCCUGUGAGCUUUUAAUAGCCACUUUCCUUGAUUGCCUUCUAGAUCAUCGUCUGCUGCCAAGUGGCCCAGUAUGAACACAGACUUCAGUUCGUGGGGGUGGGAUGGGGGUGAGGGUGGGGGUGGGGACAGUUUGAGAGGCUCCUUAGAGCAGAAUCCUGAAAGCGGGCCCAGACUGAGUCAACCGUGUCAGUCUCCUAAAUUAUGCCAUAAAAUUAAGGCUCAAGCUCAGAUUUCCAGAAUCCUUCUUUUUCGUUUUGAAUAUUUUUAUAUUCUGAGGAGUAAAAAGAAGUUUGGAAAAAUGCCCUCCUCAGAGUUCUUAUAUGUUUCUGAAAAGAUUAUGAUGACCUUGGCAAUGAAACUAUUUUAGAAAUAUCAUGAGAUGGCCUAGAGAGUGAAUUGUUAAACUAAUUUAUUAUCUUGAGAGCUAAUGAUACUCACCUGCUCUUUUAUGUUCUUAUUAGCAUUUUUUUGGUGGGGGGAGGUAGAAAUGAUUGAUGCUUGGACAGUUUUUUAUCACUUCAGAGAGAGCAAGACCCUAAAACACCACAACAGACUGAAGACAGGAGUGCCCUUCUCCAACCUCCUGAAGCAUCAAGACUCCUCUUGGGAAGGAGAAAGAUGAAGGCUCAACUCUGAAAACUUGAACAUUACCCUGAAGGCAAUCAUGAUGAACCGAAAAUAAAUUGUUUAAAAAAGAAGGCACUGAGAUAUUGUCCAUUGACACAGUUAAGUUUCCCAGUAAUCCAGUAGGAAGGGGAACUUGUAAGGAAGAAGAUGUAAUAAUAAAGAGAUAAGCAAACAGAUAAAGAAAUGAAUGAAUGAAUAUGAAAUAUGUUUUGAUUUUUGCACAUCUAAGUAGGGGUGAGAAAUAUGCUCUCUUGCUAAAAAUAAUUCAUUAGAGGACUUGGAAAUUAUAAAAAAAAGUAUAACAAAAGUGUAAUAAUUUACCUUUAUUUUGGAUAAAUAAAUAAGGUUAGAUAGAAUUAUAAUAUAUAUGUUAUUAAGCUCUAUAUACAAUUCUGAGUCUUGACUUUCAUGUAUUAUACUAUAAUCAUGGAACCACGUCAAAUGUUCUCCAAUAACUGUUAAUAGUUUUGCAAUAGUCAAUGGUCUGGAAGGACUAUGAUUUAUUUAGUCAUUUUUUAUUGCUGACUAUUAGUUUAUUUGCCCCCCCUAUUAUAAACUAUGCUGUGAUGAACUUGAUAUGUAGAUCGUUUCCAUAUAUUUGACUAUACUUAGCUUUAAUUCUUCAAACUGGAAUCACUGAAUGAAAGGAUAUAUACUAAUUUUAAUCUCUUGAUAGGUUUAGCAAUGUAUUUCCUGCAAGUCUGGACCACUUUGUCAGGAGUGGUGUAUGAGCGGCUUUUUCAAGGCACCAUUUUUACCAAUUCUAAAAUCACUCAAUAGAUGAAGAUAUCUAAUUCUUGUUUUAUUUUGUAUUUUUGGCUACAUGUUGAGGUUGAAUGUUUUAUUAUGUUAAUUAGCAACUUGAGAUAUGUAAAAUCUUUCUACUACGUUUUUUGAACAAUCUCAUUAUAAAAGUAUAUUGACUGCCAUAUAUAUUGCCUUUUUUUUUUACAUUUUCUUUUUCAGUUUCUGACAUGUUCAUUUUUAUUCCCAUGUGAUCAAAUCUCAUCUGUUUCUUAUGCUAAGAAAAUCUUUGUUCCAAAAUAACAUAAAUAAAUGGUCUUCUACACUUUUACCUUCACAUAUACCUUUUUAAUCUAUCUACAGAUUUUUCUGAACACAAUGAAGUUUUAGUUUUUUCUAUGUGGUUAAUUUGUUGUGCCAGCAGCAUUUACUUCCUUCACAGCCAAUAAUCUGAGAUGACUUCUUUACCAGAUAAUAAACUUGUGUAUAGAGAAA
Molecule: non-coding RNA, 6474 nt
Organism: Vicugna pacos (alpaca)
Lineage: Eukaryota; Metazoa; Chordata; Mammalia; Artiodactyla; Camelidae
Source: RefSeq, a predicted model, not a curated record